Molecule: non-coding RNA, 21 nt
Filed under: Caenorhabditis elegans
Lineage: Eukaryota; Metazoa; Nematoda; Chromadorea; Rhabditida; Rhabditidae
Source: RNAcentral
UAGAAUACAGGAAAAUAGGAA